RNAcentral lists this ribosomal RNA (467 nucleotides) under uncultured bacterium. Its description in RNAcentral is "bacterial SSU rRNA". It matches the Rfam family "Bacterial small subunit ribosomal RNA", at positions 28 to 507 of the family's 1533-position model. The record is from RNAcentral.
GAUGAACGCUGGCGGCGUGCCUAACACAUGCAAGUCGAACGGAAUUUACAUGAAGCCUAGCGAUUGUAAAUUUAGUGGCGGACGGGUGAGUAACGCGUGGGUAACCUGCCUUGUACUGGGGGACAACAGUUGGAAACGACUGCUAAUACCGCAUAAGCGCACAGCUUCGCAUGAAGCAGUAUGAAAAACUCCGGUGGUACAAGAUGGACCCGCGUCUGAUUAGCUGGUUGGUGAGGUAACGGCCCACCAAGGCGACGAUCAGUAGCCGGCCUGAGAGGGUGAACGGCCACAUUGGGACUGAGACACGGCCCAAACGUCCUACGGGAGGCAGCAGUGGGGAAUAUUGCACAAUGGGGGAAACCCUGAUGCAGCAACGCCGCGUGAGUGAAGAGUAUUUCGGAUGUAAAGCUCUAUCAGCAGGAAAGAAAAUGACGGUACCUGACUAAGAAGCCCCGGNUAACUACGUG